RNAcentral lists this ribosomal RNA (276 nucleotides) under uncultured bacterium. Its description in RNAcentral is "partial 16S ribosomal RNA". It matches the Rfam family "Bacterial small subunit ribosomal RNA", at positions 82 to 354 of the family's 1533-position model. The record is from RNAcentral.
CUCCCGCCGGCGACCGGCGCACGGGUGAGUAACACGUAUGAAACCUGCCCGUAGCAGGGGGAUAAGCGGAAGAAAUUCCGUCUAAUACCGCGUAACAACCCAUGGAGGCAUCUCUGUGGGUUUAAAGGAAGCGAUUCCGGCUACGGAUGGUCAUGCGUCGCAUUAGCUUGUUGGCGGGGUAACGGCCCACCAAGGCGACGAUGCGUAGGGGUUCUGAGAGGAAGGUCCCCCACAUUGGAACUGAGACACGGUCCAAACUCCUACGGAAGGCAGCAG